This 685-nucleotide ribosomal RNA is filed under the name Salmonella enterica. RNAcentral's name for it is "partial 23S ribosomal RNA". Lineage: Bacteria; Pseudomonadati; Pseudomonadota; Gammaproteobacteria; Enterobacterales; Enterobacteriaceae. The record is from RNAcentral.
UUAGUGGAAGCGUCUGGAAAGGCGCGCGAUACAGGGUGACAGCCCCGUACACAAAAGCGCAUGUGCUGUGAGCUCGAUGAGUAGGGCGGGACACGUGGUAUCCUGUCUGAAUAUGGGGGGACCAUCCUCCAAGGCUAAAUACUCCUGACUGACCGAUAGUGAACCAGUACCGUGAGGGAAAGGCGAAAAGAACCCCGGCGAGGGGAGUGAAAAAGAACCUGAAACCGUGUACGUACAAGCAGUGGGAGCCCCACCACUAAGCCAGUGGUGAACUCCACAUACGCAUCCUUUGCUGAGGAUACGGUUAACGGAGCGAAAGCGACGUUCAACCUCAAAAGAAGCAGAGGGGGCUUAGUGGUGGGGUGACUGCGUACCUUUUGUAUAAUGGGUCAGCGACUUAUAUUCUGUAGCAAGGUUAACCGAAUAGGGGAGCCGKAGGGAAACCGAGUCUUAAUUGGGCGUUAAGUUGCAGGGUAUAGACCCGAAACCCGGUGAUCUAGCCAUGGGCAGGUUGAAGGUUGGGUAACACUAACUGGAGGACCGAACCGACUAAUGUUGAAAAAUUAGCGGAUGACCUGUGGCUGGGGGUGAAAGGCCAAUCAAACCGGGAGAUAGCUGGUUCUCCCCGAAAGCUAUUUAGGUAGCGCCUCGUGAAUUCAUCUCCGGGGGUAGAGCACUGUUUCGG